This 61-nucleotide transfer RNA is filed under the name Neoseiulus womersleyi. Its description in RNAcentral is "tRNA-Gly". Lineage: Eukaryota; Metazoa; Arthropoda; Arachnida; Mesostigmata; Phytoseiidae. The record is from RNAcentral.
UUUUUAUUAAUAUAAGUUAGUAUAUUUAAUUUCCAAUUAAAAAGUUCAAUUGAAUAAAAAU